RNAcentral lists this transfer RNA (78 nucleotides) under bacterium HR21. RNAcentral's name for it is "tRNA-Pro". It matches the Rfam family "tRNA". From Rfam's summary of the family: Transfer RNA (tRNA) molecules are approximately 80 nucleotides in length. Their secondary structure includes four short double-helical elements and three loops (D, anti-codon, and T loops). The record is from RNAcentral.
CGGGACGUAGCGCAGCCCGGUUUAGCGCGCCUGGUUUGGGACCAGGAGGUCGUGGGUUCAAAUCCCACCGUCCCGACC